UCCGAGUUGACCCCGGCAGUCUCCCAUGAGUCCCCAACUAAAUGCUGGCAACAUGCGACGGGGGUUGCGCUCGUUGCGGGACUUAACCCAACAUCUCGCGACACGAGCUGGCGACAGCCAUGCACCACCUGUGAUCCUGCCCCGAAGGGAAGACCUGUUUCCAGGCCGGUCAGGAACAUGUCAAGCCCAGGUAAGGUUCUUCGCGUUGCGUCGAAUUAAACCACAUGCUCCGCUGCUUGUGCGGGCCCCCGUCAAUUCCUUUGAGUUUUAAUCUUGCGACCGUACUCCCCAGGCGGUCUACUUCACGCGUUAGCUGCGUUACCAAGUUAAUGAAAACCCGACAACUAGUAGACAUCGUUUAGGGCGUGGACUAC
RNAcentral lists this unclassified non-coding RNA (374 nucleotides) under uncultured bacterium. RNAcentral's name for it is "contains 16S-23S intergenic spacer region". The record is from RNAcentral.